This 79-nucleotide non-coding RNA is filed under the name unclassified sequences. The record is from Rfam.
UGCACCUACCGAGUGUGGUAAUGGAAACGUCCACAAAUAAAAUCCUAUGGUUUUGUUCGCAGCUCGUAGUAGGUGCAUU